RNAcentral lists this signal recognition particle RNA (148 nucleotides) under Gorilla gorilla gorilla (western lowland gorilla). RNAcentral's name for it is "Metazoan signal recognition particle RNA". It matches the Rfam family "Metazoan signal recognition particle RNA". Rfam says of the family: The signal recognition particle (SRP) is a universally conserved ribonucleoprotein. It is involved in the co-translational targeting of proteins to membranes. Lineage: Eukaryota; Metazoa; Chordata; Mammalia; Primates; Hominidae. The record is from Rfam by way of RNAcentral.
GCUGGGCAUGGUGGUGCAUGCCUGUAAUCCCAGCUACUUGGGAGGCUGAGGCAGGAGAAUCGCUUGAACCCAGGAGACCGAGGCUGCAGUGAGCUGAGAUCAUGCCACUGCAUUCCAGCCUGGGCAACAGAACGAGACUCUGUCUCAA